GCCAGUACCUGGCUUUGUUGUCUUUAGACCGCACUCAAAGGAGCAUUUAAGGAUCCACAAGACCAAGGGAACCAUCUUUGUCAUCAAGGUGACUGUGCAAGACCAAGCCUUCCACAAUACUGUGAAGGACAGCCGGUUUUUCACCUGUUUACUGCUAUCAAGGAAUGGUAAAUAAGACAAACAACUGUUCCCAUGGCUGUUUAUUGAGUGAAAUCCAGUUAAAAGCUUCAUGUGGAGGGAUUGUCCUUUUCAAGUGGGGAAUUGCACAAGGAAUAGAUCAGAACUUGACAAGAAUGAUUAAAUUCUGGGAUGAAAAACAGAAGCAAAAAAUUCUGAAAAUAAAAACACUGGCAGGAGGAAGGACAGCAUGCGCAGAAGUACCUGGAUGAUAUUAAAGGAAGUCUGAGUGGAGGCACAGUCAUCUCUGCUAGAAGCAUGCAGAUUUGGAAAGACAAGAAAAGAUGUGAAAGCAUGAGCGUAACGAUUCAGUUUGAAGGCAGUACUCUGCCGAUUAGAGUGAAGCUAGGAUUUGUAAGCUUCUUGGUAUGAGAGUUCAUACCUUGACCUUUGAGAUGUUUCGAAAUGUCAAUAUAUGGGACCUACUGCAAAUCUUUGUAAAGGGGAAUGCAGUGUGCAAAAUGUGGGGGAGAACAUGAAUAUGGCAAAUCUGUAAAUGCAGAGGAGGACCUACAACAAGAAGCUUGUGAAGUUCAAAAAAUAAAAACAGCGCAAAAUUUUACAUAAGUAGAAGCUACCCGUAAGGUAAAAGGAAUAGUUGAAACAAGGAGAACUGAUGUGCAAGGAUUCAGGGCGAAAUCCUAUACACAGAAAGGAUUCAAUCCUGAGAGGAAUGAAUCAGAUCUACAUAUUAUGAUGAAUAAAACUGACUUUGUGGCAUUCA
This is a long non-coding RNA of Carassius auratus (goldfish), 901 nucleotides long. RefSeq lists it as uncharacterized. NCBI's taxonomy places the organism in Eukaryota, Metazoa, Chordata, Actinopteri, Cypriniformes, Cyprinidae. The record is from RefSeq and is a predicted model, not a curated record. The transcript is spliced from 2 exons.